GGAUUGCCCUAGUAACGGCGAGUGAAGCGGCAAUAGCUCAAAUUUGAAAUCUGGCUCUUUCAGNGUCCGAGUUGUAAUUUGCAGAGGGCGCUUUGGCAUUGGCAGCGGUCAAGUUCCUUUGGAACAGGACGUCACAGAGGGUGAGAAUCCCGUACGUGGUCGCUAGUCUUUGCCGUGUAAAGCCCCUUCGACGAGUCGAGUUGUUUGGGAAUGCAGCUCUAAAUGGGAGGUAAAUUUCUUCUAAAGCUAAAUACUGGCCAGAGACCGAUAGCGCACAAGUAGAGUGAUCGAAAGAUGAAAAGCACUUUGGAAAGAGAGUCAAAUAGCACGUGAAAUUGUUGAAAGGGAAGCGCUUGCAGCCAGACUUGCCNGUAGUUGCUUAUCUGGACUUUUGUCCGGUGCACUCUUCUNNGGGCAGGCCAGCAUCAGUUUGGGCGGUUGGAUAAAGGUCUCUGUCA
Molecule: ribosomal RNA, 458 nt
Filed under: Ophiobolus fulgidus
Lineage: Eukaryota; Fungi; Ascomycota; Dothideomycetes; Pleosporales; Phaeosphaeriaceae
Description: LSU rRNA
Rfam family: Eukaryotic large subunit ribosomal RNA
Source: RNAcentral